Molecule: ribosomal RNA, 253 nt
Filed under: uncultured bacterium
Lineage: Bacteria
Description: partial 16S ribosomal RNA
Rfam family: Bacterial small subunit ribosomal RNA
Source: RNAcentral
UACGGGGGGGGCAAGCGUUGUUCGGAAUUACUGGGCGUAAAGGGCGUGUAGGUGGCCAACUAAGUCAGACGUGAAAUCCCUCGGCUUAACCGGGGAACUGCGUCUGAUACUGGAUGGCUUGAGUGUGGGAGAGGGAUGCGGAAUUCCAGGUGUAGCGGUGAAAUGCGUAGGUAUCUGGAGGAACACCGGUGGCGAAGGCGGCAUCCUGGACCGACACUGACACUGAGGAGCGAAAGCCAGGGGAGCAAACGGG